RNAcentral lists this ribosomal RNA (447 nucleotides) under uncultured bacterium. RNAcentral's name for it is "bacterial SSU rRNA". It matches the Rfam family "Bacterial small subunit ribosomal RNA", at positions 355 to 825 of the family's 1533-position model. The record is from RNAcentral.
UCGGGAAUUUUGGGCAAUGGGCGAAAGCCUGACCCAGCAACGCCGCGUGAAGGAUGAAGUAUUUCGGUAUGUAAACUUCGAAAGAAUAGGAAGAAUAAAUGACGGUACUAUUUAUAAGGUCCGGCUAACUACGUGCCAGCAGCCGCGGUAAUACGUAGGGACCAAGCGUUGUUCGGAUUUACUGGGCGUAAAGGGCGCGUAGGCGGCAAUUCAAGUCAUCUGUGAAAUCUCCGGGCUUAACUCGGAACGGUCAGAUGAUACUGCUUUGCUAGAGUGCAGAAGGGGCAAUCGGAAUUCUUGGUGUAGCGGUGAAACGCGUAGAUAUCAAGAGGAACACCUGAGGUGAAGACGGGUUGCUGGGCUGACACUGACGCUGAGGCGCGAAAGCCAGGGGAGCAAACGGGAUUAGAUACCCGCGUAGUCCCUGAGCGGGCUGGCAAGGCGCAU